This 516-nucleotide ribosomal RNA is filed under the name uncultured bacterium. RNAcentral's name for it is "bacterial SSU rRNA". It matches the Rfam family "Bacterial small subunit ribosomal RNA", at positions 8 to 518 of the family's 1533-position model. The record is from RNAcentral.
AGAGUUGAUUCUGGCUCAGGAUGAACGCUAGCGACAGGCUAACACAUGCAAGUCGAGGGGCAGCAUAGAAGUAGCAAUACUUGGUGGCGACCGGCGCACGGGUGAGUAACGCGUAUGCAACCUACCUAUCAGAGGGGAAUAACCCGGCGAAAGUCGGACUAAUACCGCAUAAAACAGGGGCACCGCAUGGUGAUAUUUGUUAAAGAAAUUCGCUGACAGAUGGGCAUGCGUUCCAUUAGGUAGUUGGUGAGGUAACGGCUCACCAAGCCGACGAUGGAUAGGGGAACUGAGAGGUUGGUCCCCCACACUGGUACUGAGACACGGACCAGACUCCUACGGGAGGCAGCAGUGAGGAAUAUUGGUCAAUGGGCGGGAGCCUGAACCAGCCAAGUCCGCGUGAAGGAAGAAGGAUCUAUGGUUCGUAAACUUCUUUUGCAGGGGAAUAAAGUGCAGGACGUGUCCUGUUUUGUAUGUACCCCGAGAAUAAGGAUCGGCUAACUCCGUGCCAGCCGCGGC